GGCGAACGGGUGAGUAAUAUAUCGGAACGUGCCUAGUAGUGGGGAACAACCAGCCGAAAGGUUGGCUAAUACCGCAUACGACCUACGGGUGAAAGCAGGGGAUCUUCGGACCUUGCGCUAUUAGAGCGGCCGAUAUCUGAUUAGGUAGUUGGUGGGGUAAAGGCCUACCAAGCCGACGAUCAGUAGCUGGUCUGAGAGGACGAUCAGCCACACUGGAACUGAGACACGGUCCAGACUCCUACGGGAGGCAGCAGUGGGGAAUUUUGGACAAUGGGGGAAACCCUGAUCCAGCCAUUCCGCGUGAGUGAAGAAGGCCUUCGGGUUGUAAAGCUCUUUCGCAAGGGAAGAAAUUUUAUUGUCUAAUAAACAGUAGAGAUGACGGUACCUUGAGAAGAAGCACCGGCUAACUACGUGCCAGCAGCCGCGGUAAUACGUAGGGUGCGAGCGUUAAUCGGAAUUACUGGGCGUAAAGCGUGC
RNAcentral lists this ribosomal RNA (477 nucleotides) under uncultured beta proteobacterium. Its description in RNAcentral is "bacterial SSU rRNA". It matches the Rfam family "Bacterial small subunit ribosomal RNA", at positions 97 to 570 of the family's 1533-position model. Lineage: Bacteria; Pseudomonadati; Pseudomonadota; Betaproteobacteria. The record is from RNAcentral.